UACGAAGGUGGCAAGCGUUACUCGGAAUUACUAGGCGUAAAGGGCAGGUAGGUGGUUUGAUAAGUCUGUUGUGAAAGCUCCCGGCUUAACUGGGAGAGGUCAACGGAUACUGUCGAACUUGAGUAUGGGAGAGGUUACUGGAAUUCCCGGUGUAGCGGUGAAAUGCGCAGAGAUCGGGAGGAACACCAAUGGCGAAAGCAGGUAACUGGACCAUUACUGACACUCAGCUGCGAAAGCUAGGGGAGCAAACAGG
RNAcentral lists this ribosomal RNA (253 nucleotides) under uncultured bacterium. Its description in RNAcentral is "partial 16S ribosomal RNA". It matches the Rfam family "Bacterial small subunit ribosomal RNA", at positions 524 to 776 of the family's 1533-position model. The record is from RNAcentral.